This 205-nucleotide ribosomal RNA is filed under the name Agaricostilbomycetes sp. TY-257. RNAcentral describes it as "internal transcribed spacer 2". Lineage: Eukaryota; Fungi; Basidiomycota; Agaricostilbomycetes. The record is from RNAcentral.
AUGAAUUCUUCAACCCAAUCUUUUCUUGUAAUCGAUUGGUGUUUGGAUUCUGAGCGCUGCUGGCUUCGGCCUAGCUCGUUCGUAAUACAUUAGCAUCCCUAAUACAAGUUUGGAUUGACUUGGCGUAAUAGACUAUUCGCUAAGGAUUCGGUGGAAACAUCGAGCCAACUUUAUCAAGGAAGCUCCUAGUCUAAAAGUCUACCUU